ACCUGGGAGCUCUCUGUUUCUUCUUAGCUUCAGCAUCAGUGGACGAAAUAACCUGAUUUGAAAAUGCAUUUCAAGACAAUUUAUACUACCAUUCUCAAAACUGCGAACACUACGUACCAAAAAAUUACAUACCUCCACCGAAUCAGCACUAUGCUGCAUAUGAUCUUUAUGAAGAGCAUCGUCGUGAAUAGGUGGAUCAACUGUAGUAUGCUCCUUCACGUAACCAAGGAAGAGGUUGUUUAAAUCAAGCAAGUCGAUUCAUACUAGAACUGGUAGUUAACUUGUCAGACCUUAUACAGAGGAAGCAUGCUUACCUCAGGAGGAACAGUAGCAUGCCCACCAGGUUUGUCAUCAACCAGAAGGCCCUUAUCUCGUAGGACCUUCUCUAUUGUCGACACCCUCUUAUCGAGCUGUUCUAUGCGGGUAUUCUCAACAUCCCCAAUAGGAUGAGGGUCUGCUAAACUAAAACCAUGUUGUACCAAACACGUCUCAAGCACUGUGAUACGUGUGUGAAUUUCCCGCAGUGGAUGUCGAUCACUUUGGCUGGAUGACGGAAUCUAAAACAACACAAUAAUGAAUUAGCUUGUAUGAAUUGAACAAACUGUAGGCAUACAUCAAUGUGUGCAGACUUGAACUAUGUGCCGACAAGUGAAAAGUGCAUGCCAAUUCAAAAGUGCAUAUAUUUGUGUUUGUAAAUGCUAUGUCACAGUAAGCUGCUAAUACCUGAGUUCCGUCGUGCACGGAUUGUUGAUGUUCUGUCUCCGUACGCCUCUCAUCAGGCACACGUAAUUGUGGCCUUCCAGCU
This 805-nucleotide long non-coding RNA is filed under the name Phoenix dactylifera (date palm). RNAcentral's name for it is "long non-coding RNA (PDAC_LNC018059)". Lineage: Eukaryota; Viridiplantae; Streptophyta; Magnoliopsida; Arecales; Arecaceae. The record is from RNAcentral.